AUGGCAGCCGCCAGCGACAAACGUCGGAAGGAUGUAGCCGAACUCGAGCACGGACUCGAGCACAACGGCGACAUACACCUCCUCCCAACGUCAACCACACGCUCAUACGCGCGCCCGCGGUCCCUACGCGCCCGACGCGUCCAGUGCGCACCCAUAACACGCACCGGUUGCGCCCGGCUCGCCGCCACGACUUAUUGCCCUGCACCGUUGCGGCCUCAACCGCAGAGCAACACCUCCGUGCCGCCACGCCGCGCCACCAUGCAGCGCCUCAGCGGCCUCCGCGGUCGCCGCACGUACGACAUCACCGCCCGCCGUCCCGCCACGCGCCAUGGCAGCCACAGCGCCGCCCACCUCCAUAGGCCGACACACGGCCCAGAGCUCCAUCGCGCAGCCGCCGGCGAGCGCCGCCAUCGCUGCCACGCCUCCAGCACGGAGAACGACGCCCAAGAUGAACCAGCUCUGAUACCAAUUGUUGGAACCGCAUCACUCUAG
Molecule: ribosomal RNA, 492 nt
Filed under: Triticum aestivum (bread wheat)
Lineage: Eukaryota; Viridiplantae; Streptophyta; Magnoliopsida; Poales; Poaceae
Description: partial small subunit ribosomal RNA
Source: RNAcentral